AUUUAGAAACAUGUCUAAAUUUU
Molecule: small nuclear RNA, 23 nt
Filed under: Arabidopsis thaliana (thale cress)
Lineage: Eukaryota; Viridiplantae; Streptophyta; Magnoliopsida; Brassicales; Brassicaceae
Description: snRNA_11378
Source: RNAcentral